Saccostrea cuccullata (small rock oyster) is the source of this 179-nucleotide long non-coding RNA. RefSeq lists it as uncharacterized. The record is from RefSeq and is a predicted model, not a curated record. Lineage: Eukaryota; Metazoa; Mollusca; Bivalvia; Ostreida; Ostreidae. The transcript has 3 exons.
UACUUCAAUACUUGGAGCUAUAUGUAAAAAUCGUCAUUGGACUCUUGUGAUUGUUGAUCCUUUGAAGGGUUUCAUACAUUACUUUAACCCCCUGAAAGAGACCAGAAUACAGAUUGAGGAGAUAAAGAGAAACUGGUGUUUGUACACCAGUGAGAGGAUGGUUACAUAUCAUGAAGUGG